This 468-nucleotide ribosomal RNA is filed under the name uncultured bacterium. RNAcentral's name for it is "partial 16S ribosomal RNA". It matches the Rfam family "Bacterial small subunit ribosomal RNA", at positions 28 to 507 of the family's 1533-position model. The record is from RNAcentral.
GACGAACGCUGGCGGCGUGCUUAACACAUGCCAGUCGAACGGAAAGACCCUGCUUUUGUGGGGUGCUCGAGUGGCGAACGGGUGAGUAACACGUGAGUAACCUACCCUUGACUUUGGGAUAACUUCAGGAAACUGGGGCUAAUACCGGAUAGGAGCUCCUGCUGCAUGGUGGGGGUUGGAAAGUUUCGGCGGUUGGGGAUGGACUCGCGGCUUAUCAGCUUGUUGGUGGGGUAGUGGCUUACCAAGGCUUUGACGGGUAGCCGGCCUGAGAGGGUGACCGGCCACAUUGGGACUGAGAUACGGCCCAGACUCCUACGGGAGGCAGCAGUGGGGAAUAUUGCACAAUGGGCGGAAGCCUGAUGCAGCAACGCCGCGUGCGGGAUGACGGCCUUCGGGUUGUAAACCGCUUUCGCCUGUGACGAAGCGUGAGUGACGGUAAUGGGUAAAGAAGCACCGGCUAACUACGUG